RNAcentral lists this ribosomal RNA (469 nucleotides) under uncultured bacterium. RNAcentral's name for it is "partial 16S ribosomal RNA". It matches the Rfam family "Bacterial small subunit ribosomal RNA", at positions 28 to 507 of the family's 1533-position model. The record is from RNAcentral.
GACGAACGCUGGCGGCGUGCUUAACACAUGCAAGUCGAACGGAAAGGCCCUGCUUGCAGGGUGCUCGAGUGGCGAACGGGUGAGUAACACGUGGGUGAUCUGCCCCUUACUUUGGGAUAAGCCUGGGAAACUGGGUCUAAUACUGGAUAGGACCAUGCUGUAGGUGGUGUGGUGGAAAGAUUAUUUUCGGUAAGGGAUGAGCUCGCGGCCUAUCAGCUUGUUGGUGGGGUAAUGGCCUACCAAGGCGUCGACGGGUAGCCGGCCUGAGAGGGUGGACGGCCACAUUGGGACUGCGAUACGGCGCAGACUACUACGGGAGGCAGCAGUGGGGAAUAUUGCACAAUGGGCGGAGGCCUGAUGCAGCGACGCCGCGUGGGGGGUGACGGCCUUCGGGUUGUAAUCUCCUUUCAGCCAUGACGAAGCCCUUGUGGUGACGGUAGUGGUAGAAGAAGCACCGGCUAACUACGUG